UGGGGAAUUUUGGACAAUGGGGGAAACCCUGAUCCAGCCAUCCCGCGUGUGCGAUGAAGGCCUUCGGGUUGUAAAGCACUUUUGGCAGGAAAGAAACGUCAUGGGUUAAUACCCCGUGAAACUGACGGUACCUGCAGAAUAAGCACCGGCUAACUACGUGCCAGCAGCCGCGGUAAUACGUAGGGUGCAAGCGUUAAUCGGAAUUACUGGGCGUAAAGCGUGCGCAGGCGGUUCGGAAAGAAAGAUGUGAAAUCCCAGGGCUCAACUUUGGAACUGCAUUUUUAACUACCGGGCUAGAGUGUGUCAGAGGGAGGUGGAAUUCCGCGUGUAGCAGUGAAAUGCGUAGAUAUGCGGAGGAACACCGAUGGCGAAGGCAGCCUCCUGGAAUAACACUGACGCUCAUGCACGAAAGCGUGGGGAGCAAACAGG
This 429-nucleotide ribosomal RNA is filed under the name Acidobacteriota bacterium. RNAcentral describes it as "Acidobacteria bacterium partial 16S ribosomal RNA". It matches the Rfam family "Bacterial small subunit ribosomal RNA", at positions 355 to 776 of the family's 1533-position model. The record is from RNAcentral. Lineage: Bacteria; Pseudomonadati; Acidobacteriota.